Molecule: long non-coding RNA, 608 nt
Filed under: Danio rerio (zebrafish)
Lineage: Eukaryota; Metazoa; Chordata; Actinopteri; Cypriniformes; Danionidae
Description: lncRNA (ENSDARG00000117498.1)
Source: RNAcentral
CAGAUGGGUUGUUCAUUUUUAGUUUGUGUUAACUAAUGCAUUAACCACAAUUAUUCUGUUAAUGUAAAGAGAUGCAUUAUUAAAUGUAUAUUUGAACAUUAAAGGCUACGAAAUAUCGACGGAUAGCAGACUCUGAGGUAAUUAGCUUUUUUUAUACCCAAACACAAAAUAAUAAGUUCUGAUAUACUGGGUUCUAUAUUGUUUUCUAUUGUUGAACAAGACCUUCAGCCAAAUAGACCUAGGUUGUAAAUAAUAUUAACAACAACAACAGCAACAACAAUAAUGUAAAAGACAAUUUGCACAACUGUUAUAACAUGAUUUGUUCUUAUUCAUUUCAGAAUACAUCUAGGAGUAGGUGUAGAGAGAGUUACAAAAGCUAUCUUAAAUGUUCAUCCUUCCAGAAAGAAAGGAGACAGGUCUUAAAAGAGGGCUCUCAGAAUGCUCCUGAUGAAGGACCUGUCACAGAAGUUGAAAGCAUUCAAACAGCUGAAGUUCAGCAGCAGGACACACACAAAACUAAUUCAUCAGAGCCUGCCAGUGGACAGGGCCACUCUGUUCAAGUGAUGGACCUACCCUCCACAUCAGAGCAAGACAGCACUUUUCUUGAA